RNAcentral lists this ribosomal RNA (253 nucleotides) under uncultured bacterium. RNAcentral's name for it is "partial 16S ribosomal RNA". It matches the Rfam family "Bacterial small subunit ribosomal RNA", at positions 524 to 776 of the family's 1533-position model. The record is from RNAcentral.
UACAGAGGUCUCGAGCGUUAGGCGGAAUCACUGGGCUUAAAGCGUGUGUAGGCGGAUCGUUAAGUACCUUGUGAAAUCCCACGGCUUAACCGUGGAACUGCUUGGUAUACUGGCGGUCUUGAGCCAGCUAGGGGCUACCGGAACAAAUGGUGGAGCGGUGAAAUGCGUAGAUAUCAUUUGGAACGCCAAUGGUGAAAACAGGUAGCUGGGGCUGUGCUGACGCUGAGGCGCGACAGCGUGGGGAGCAAACAGG